This is a long non-coding RNA of Ipomoea triloba (trilobed morning glory), 1805 nucleotides long. RefSeq lists it as uncharacterized. The record is from RefSeq and is a predicted model, not a curated record. The transcript is spliced from 8 exons. Lineage: Eukaryota; Viridiplantae; Streptophyta; Magnoliopsida; Solanales; Convolvulaceae.
UAGGAUCCAUUAUUAAUUAUUGUAUGCCAUGCCCCCCACCCCAUCAUCAUGCUUUGUUGCUGUAAAUCUGAAGUUCUAAAGAACUUGUCCCCUGCCUUAAUCUCUUGAUUUGCUGCAGAAAUGUAUUGGUUCUGUGAAUGUGGAUUUGAUGCUGCAAAUGGAGGUGCCUAGAAAGCGUCCUGCUCAGAAGAGAGCUACUGUGAAGCCAAUCAAGCCUGAAGCUGUGAUUGUAAUCAGCCCUGACACUAAAGAAGAGGUGAAGGAAAAGAACAGCCUCCGCAGAAAGGCAGCAGCUGAAGAUUCAUCUAGAAAGACUUACUGCAACUCUCACUACUCGAAGCAAGGUUGAUUGAGACUCAUUCUCUGUUUCAGAGGUCAUUGCUGUGUAGGCCUUUGCCUGCUGAUAUAGGAAGGUGUACCUGUGUUAUUGUGAAGGAAACAUCCCCUGAUGGGUUCAAUGGAGGCGCUCUCUACUCACUCUACACCUAUUAAGGCCAUUUUUUAGCACUCCUCUAGUGUGUACUAGUUUUUUGCUUUGAUAGACAUUUAACUACUAUCUUUUCAUUUUUUUUGGCUCCAGAAGAAUGGAAGGCAGACAAUACUACAACUUGAAUAUGUGAUGGACUAUAGAUGUCCAAUGACUGGCUACCAAGCCGUCUGCAUAUGCUGGCUUCCAUUGAUGCAAAGCUUUGCGGCACAGUGUAAUGGGGGACUCUACUUCAUUUGUGGUUCAACCUCUGAACACAAAGAAAAUGCAAGUAAACCUGCCCAUGGGGUUUGAGUUUUUGAUCAUUAAUCUUUGCAUUGAACCUGUCAUGUCCAAGCUUUUGUCAAAGCCUUUCGUCAAUGCUUUAAUGCAGAUCAAGGCCAAUAAUCCUCCUGGCUGCCCAUGGACUGAACGUUAAAUUACCAAAGGAGAAGAUUGAAGAUAUUGAUGCUGGAGGUGUGUACAAUGAGUUGGCAGUUGUGGAGUAUGCAGAAGACAUUUACAAGUUCUACAAGGAAGUUGAGGGUUGUGUUUACUGUAUAGGCUAGAUCAAUGUCAAACAAGGAAGUUGAGUAGGACAAGUUUGAACAUGGUGACUCUUUCUAUUGGAUGUUGCUCUUGCACACAGUUUAAAUUGAUGGAUCAAGAAGGACGAGAACUUUUGUGAGCAAAUAAGGUUAGUCCACCCAUUCCUUUUCACUCAAUGAUAACAUACCUUCAAAUGUGCAUAUAGCUUUUUGUUAUGACGCUGCUUUUUGUUAUAACAUACCUUCAAAUUGAUGGAUCAAGAAGGACGAGAACUUUUGUGAGCAAAUAAGUAGGACAAGUUUGAGCAUGGUGUUUCUAUUGGAUGUUGCUCUUGCACACAGUUUAAAUUGAUGGAUCAAGAAGGACAAGAACUUUUGUGAGCAAAUAAGGUUAGUCCACCCAUUCCUUUUCACUCAAUGAUAACAUACCUUCAAAUGUGCAUAUAGCUUUUUGUUAUAACACUGCUUUUUGUUAUAACAUACCUUCAAAUUGAUGGAUCAAGAAGGACGAGAACUUUUGUGAGCAAAUAAGGUUAGUCCACCCAUUCCUUUUCACUCAAUGAUCACAAAGUUGUAAUUCCAGCUAAAUAUGGCGAUACCUCGGUAAUUAGACUAUAUCUCAGCCUAGGAAUAUCCAAAUGAAGUGAUUCUUGAGCCAUUGGAAAGAAAACUUCAAGUGAUACAACUCUUAUGAAAACCUCAAAGCAUGAUUUGAAACGGAAAAUGGUCAAAAUAAGGCUGCAAGCCGGACCUGCGGCGCAGGGUGAUUCUCGACGCGUCGAGAAGAGGCA